UUUGAUCCUGGCUCAGAUUGAACGCUGGCGGCAGGCCUAAGACAUGCAAGUCGAACGGUAACGACACUAGCUUGCUAGUGGUCGACGAGUGGCGGACGGGUGAGUAACGCGUAGGAAUCUACCUAGUAGUGGGGGAUAGCCAAGGGAAACUUUGGGUAAUACCGCAUACGAUCUAAGGAUGAAAGGGGGCCUCUCUUUGAAGCUCUCGCUAUUAGAUGAGCCUGCGUAAGAUUAGCUUGUUGGUGGGGUAGUGGCCCACCAAGGCGACGAUCUUUAGCUGGUCUGAGAGGAUGAUCAGUCACACUGGAACUGAGACACGGUCCAGACUCCUACGGGAGGCAGCAGUCGGGAAUAUUGGACAAUGGGGGAAACCCUGAUCCAGCCAUGCCGCGUGUGUGAAGAAGGCCCUAGGGUUGUAAAGCACUUUUAGUAGUGAGGAAGGCUCAGUAGUUAAUACCUACUGGGAUUGACGU
This 473-nucleotide ribosomal RNA is filed under the name uncultured microbium BHC9. RNAcentral describes it as "bacterial SSU rRNA". It matches the Rfam family "Bacterial small subunit ribosomal RNA", at positions 12 to 475 of the family's 1533-position model. The record is from RNAcentral.